RNAcentral lists this transfer RNA (72 nucleotides) under Candidatus Staskawiczbacteria bacterium. RNAcentral describes it as "tRNA-Val". It matches the Rfam family "tRNA". Rfam says of the family: Transfer RNA (tRNA) molecules are approximately 80 nucleotides in length. Their secondary structure includes four short double-helical elements and three loops (D, anti-codon, and T loops). The record is from RNAcentral. Lineage: Bacteria; Candidatus Staskawicziibacteriota.
GGACGAUUAGCUCAAUGGCAGAGCAUCUGCUUUACACGCAGAGGGUUGCAGGUUCGAGUCCUGCAUCGUCCA